ACUUUCAACAACGGAUCUCUUGGUUCUGGCAUCGAUGAAGAACGCAGCGAAAUGCGAUACGUAAUGUGAAUUGCAGAAUUCAGUGAAUCAUCGAAUCUUUGAACGCACAUUGCGCCCGCCAGUAUUCUGGCGGGCAUGCCUGUUCGAGCGUCAUUUCAA
RNAcentral lists this ribosomal RNA (159 nucleotides) under Claviceps purpurea (ergot fungus). Its description in RNAcentral is "5.8S ribosomal RNA". It matches the Rfam family "5.8S ribosomal RNA". Rfam says of the family: 5.8S ribosomal RNA (5.8S rRNA) is a component of the large subunit of the eukaryotic ribosome. The record is from RNAcentral. Lineage: Eukaryota; Fungi; Ascomycota; Sordariomycetes; Hypocreales; Clavicipitaceae.